UAUAGCAAUUGCUAUUUGCACUAAAGUUUUUAGUGUAAAAUCGACUUUGUCGAAUAAAAUUCUGGGUAGAAUUAUGAUAAUGACAUUAUCUACUUAUAAGUCUUGACCAAAUUACGUGCCAGCAGUCGCGGUAAUACGUAAAAGACAAGUGUUAUUCAUCUUUAAUAGGUUUAAAGGGUACUUAGACGGUAAAUAAAGCCUCUAAAAGGGACUAGUUUGCUAGAGUUUUAUAUGAGGGAGUUUUAAAGUACUACUGGUGUAGAGAUGAAAUUCAGUUAUACCUUACAUGGCACAGGUUAAGGCGAAAGCAUCUUCUUAUGUAAAAACUGACGUUGAAGGACGAAGGCUUUGUGUCUCGAACAGGAUUAGAUACCCUAGUAGUCUAAGCAGAAAAUCAUGAAUGUCAUAGAUUAGAUUUAAUUUGAUCUGUAAAUGAAAGUGUAAGCAUUCCACCUCAAGAGUAAUUUGGCAACAUUGGAACUGAAAUCAUUAGACCGUUUCUGAAACCAGUAGUGAAGUAUGUUGUUUAAUUUGAUAAUCCGCAAAAAACCUUACCACAAUUUGAAUAGAUAUAAUUUAUCAUACAAGCGUUGCACGGCUGUCUUCAGUUAAUGUCGUGAGACUUUGGUUAGUUCCAUUAAAUUAACGUAAACCCUUAUUUUAUUUUUAUAUAAAAUAGUUCACCGCUAUAUUGGAUGUGAUAAUAGGGAUCAAGACAAGUCAUCAUGACCUAAAUAUUGUGGGCUAUA
RNAcentral lists this ribosomal RNA (749 nucleotides) under Caloplaca sp. RNAcentral describes it as "SSU rRNA". It matches the Rfam family "Bacterial small subunit ribosomal RNA", at positions 387 to 1218 of the family's 1533-position model. Lineage: Eukaryota; Fungi; Ascomycota; Lecanoromycetes; Teloschistales; Teloschistaceae. The record is from RNAcentral.